Molecule: long non-coding RNA, 465 nt
Organism: Meleagris gallopavo (turkey)
Lineage: Eukaryota; Metazoa; Chordata; Aves; Galliformes; Phasianidae
Source: RefSeq, a predicted model, not a curated record
CUGGCUAGCUGUUCUACAGAACUGUCCUGGAAAAGAGUUGUGAUAACCAGCAGCUGUGUGAGUGGGUGAGCUGCUCCAUUAAGCAGGUGCUGCUCUGCUGCCGAAGAGCAUUUAUAGCCAAAGCACCAGUGCCACUGGGAGUGCAGGCUCAGGGAAAGUUAGUGGCCUAAAAAGGAAGAGCUGUCUAAGGGCCAAGCUAUUUCUGCUAUACUGCUCUCCACAGAAGGAUGAGAAGAGACCACAGCCCUAUGGAAUGCUGCUUGCCUCGUGGUUUCACUUCAUGCUAAGCAGAACUAACUGGUCCUCCUCCUGCGGUUGCUCCCUCCUUAGGACUCUGUUUCCUCUUCACUCUUGCAUCAACACUGAUCCUUCUCUGAUGUCAUUUCAGGGAGUUCCACAUGGAAGGACGUGUCUGUGAAGCACAGCCCAUUUUCUGAUCCCUGACCUGCAAACUGAUGUAAACAG